GUGCAGUGGGUGCACUGGGCUGGGGGAGUGGGUAGGGUGCAAGGGUUGGUCUGGAGUAGUGGCGGGAGAGAGCUCGUAGGCGGCCUGUGGCGGCGGCUGUGGCAUGCCGGGGCGGAACCCCGGGCUUGCAGUCGGUACGGGCAGGCGAGAGUGCGGGAGGGGAGACUGGAAUUCCUGGUGUAGCGGUGAAAUGCGCAGAUAUCAGGAGGAACACCGGUGGCGAAGGCGGGUCUCUGGGCCGAUACUGACGCUGAGGAGCGAAAGCGUGGGGAGCGAACAGGAUUAGAUACCCGAGUAGUC
Molecule: ribosomal RNA, 300 nt
Filed under: uncultured Halobacterium sp.
Lineage: Archaea; Methanobacteriati; Methanobacteriota; Halobacteria; Halobacteriales; Halobacteriaceae
Description: bacterial SSU rRNA
Rfam family: Bacterial small subunit ribosomal RNA (bases 69-300)
Source: RNAcentral